RNAcentral lists this ribosomal RNA (253 nucleotides) under uncultured bacterium. RNAcentral's name for it is "partial 16S ribosomal RNA". It matches the Rfam family "Bacterial small subunit ribosomal RNA", at positions 524 to 776 of the family's 1533-position model. The record is from RNAcentral.
UACAGAGGUCCCAAGCGUUGUUCGGAUUUACUGGGCGUAAAGGGAGCGUAGGUGGCAUUCUAAGUCUGAUGUGAAAGCUCUGAGCUUAACUCAGAAAUGGCAUUAGAUACUAGUUUGCUUGAGGAUUGGAGGGGAGAUUGGAAUUCCUGGUGUAGCGGUGAAAUGCGCAGAUAUCAGGAGGAACACCGGUGGCGAAGGCGGAUCUCUGGGCCUUACCUGACGCUCAGGUGCGAAAGCUAGGGGAGCGAACAGG